RNAcentral lists this transfer RNA (74 nucleotides) under Lepidodactylus vanuatuensis. RNAcentral's name for it is "tRNA-Trp". The record is from RNAcentral. Lineage: Eukaryota; Metazoa; Chordata; Lepidosauria; Squamata; Gekkonidae.
AAAUUUAGGUUAACCCGAUUUUAAACCCAAGGGCCUUCAAAGCCUUAAAUAGGGACUAAAUUCCCUAAUUUCUG